GGAGUUUAAACAGCAAGUGCCUGGUGAUCCUGUGCCGGGCACUUGAAGAAGACUCUCCUAGAACAGACUCCCAGCUGGCUGUUCGCUUUACACUGGCCGAGGGACUCCCCAUGGGUCUGGUUGGUGAAAAACAGUCCAGCACAACU
RNAcentral lists this small nucleolar RNA (146 nucleotides) under Drosophila ananassae. RNAcentral describes it as "snoRNA:GF26066". Lineage: Eukaryota; Metazoa; Arthropoda; Insecta; Diptera; Drosophilidae. The record is from RNAcentral.